UUGAUUCGGCUUUGAGGGCUUGCUAUAAUCCAUUUCCUGUGAUUGAUGGAAGAAGAGCAAACUGUAAUCUUGCAUCGCUUGGUGCUCAAAAGAAUCGUCUAUCUUCUGCUUCUCACCCUGGUCAGUAUUCACCCAUAUACAUCAAAUCAAAAUAUGGCUGUUAGAUUAUAUUUUUUGUCUCCCAUACUUUGCUGCUUAAUUUCCGUCACCUUAAUUGCUGUAAUCGUAUUUAUUGCUUUAUGAUCAGUUUUCGUAUGUUUGGCAUAAGUUGCAGGGAUUGAGAAAUUUAGCCCAUCCGCACCAGCACCACCACCUCGAGUCAUGGCACCAUCCGUUGCUGCUACUCCGGCAUUUUACCGUCAAUUCAUUCCGCAAUACGCAUUUCCUUAUUCGGCUUACGGGUGGGUAGAUAGAUCGGAUUUCAUAAUCUCUCUGCCUUGCUUAAAUUGUGUUAAUUUCUUGUUUCCGUAGGUGGUUCAAUGUUCUAAAAAUGAUUGUCUUUUGACAUUCAGGUAUCCUGGCUACACGCAAAAUAUGUCUCCAAUGGUUAGUCUCUUGUUAUCAUCUUAUAUUAUACCUUCAUACAUAUAAUAGGCCUAACAAUUGAACAUAAAAUGUGUGAUCAAAAGGUAAUACAAACAUGACACAAAUACAUGAAUGCAUUGUUUUUUAUAUGGUUAUUGUUGCCAACUUGUAACAUGAAUCCUUGAUUGUUGUCUAAGAUGAAACAUUACAAAAAUGUAAAAGCAAUGUAGUGAUUUGAAAAUGGUGAAUGUUAUUUGCAGAGCUAUUACAAUGUAUAUGGAGGGCAAGCGUUCUCAUCCCAUUACAGUAGCAGUGGGGCGUCAGGAUCCGCUGGAGUCUACAUGGGUUACUUCCCAUUCUAUCCCCAGCAUGGGCAUGGGCAUGG
This 910-nucleotide long non-coding RNA is filed under the name Gossypium barbadense (sea-island cotton). RNAcentral's name for it is "long non-coding RNA (GBAR_LNC018542)". The record is from RNAcentral. Lineage: Eukaryota; Viridiplantae; Streptophyta; Magnoliopsida; Malvales; Malvaceae.